Molecule: long non-coding RNA, 1410 nt
Filed under: Ananas comosus (pineapple)
Lineage: Eukaryota; Viridiplantae; Streptophyta; Magnoliopsida; Poales; Bromeliaceae
Description: long non-coding RNA (ACOM_LNC019029)
Source: RNAcentral
UUUUAAAAUUAUAUAUAUAUAUAUAUAUAUAUAUAUAUAUAUAUAGAGAGAGAGAGAGAGAGAGAGAGAGAGAGAGAGAGAGAGACUGGUAUACUAUCGAUAGCACGGAGGCCUCCGUACUACCAAAUUAUUUUCAAUGAUGCAGCUUCCAAAUCGACGAUCAACUCCGUUAUACUUGAUUUAUACUAUUGAAAGUAUUUGGAAACAAAAUUUAAUAAUUUUCGGUAUCAUUUACCUAUCAAAUAAAUAGUCUAAAAAUGAACGGCUGGAAAUAAAAAUCUCAUAAAAAAUAAUUAUAAAAGAAUUAAAUUUAAGAUCAGAGAUACUGAUCUUACUUUAAAUAGUAAAAAUAAUUUUCUAUAAAAAUUUCAUCAGAUUUAGAUUGUUUUACACCGUUAAAUUGACAAACGCAUCACAUCUAUCAUUAAAAUUAUUAAUUUUGAGACCUUUGAUCACUAGCCAAAUGAUGUCGAAAAAUUAUGAAAUUUAGUUUCCAAAUACUUUUAAUAGUGUAGAUUAAGUCUAACGGAGCUGAUCGUCGAUUUGGAAUUAUAGAGCUAGGUUGGUAUACUAUCGGUAGCAUGGAGGCCUCUGUGCUACCAAGUUGUUUUCAAUGAUGCGGUUUCCAAAUCGACGAUCGACUCCGUUAAACUUAAUUUAUACUAUUGAAAGUAUUUGGAAACAAAAUUUAAUAAUUUUUCGGUAUCAUUUACCUAUCAAACGAGUAGUCUAAAAAUAAACGACUGAAAAUAAAAAUCUCAUAAAAAAUAAUGAUAAAAGACUUGAAUUUAAAUCAGAGUUACUGAUCUUACUUUAAAUAGUAAAAAUAAUUUUCAAUAAACCUUUGAUCACUAGCCAAAUAAUGUCGAAAAAUUAAGAAAUUUAGUUUCCAAAUACUUUUAAUAGUGUAGAUUAAGUCUAACGGAGCCGAUCGUUGAUUUAUAAGCCGCAUCAUUGAAAACAACUUGGUAGCACGAAGGCCUCUGUGCUACCGAUAGUAUACCAGCCUAACUCUAUAUAUAUAUAUAUAGUAGGUCUUGUGUGCUAUUAGGAGCACGGAGACCUCCGUGCUCCUAAGCUAUUUUCGAUGAUAGAGUUUCCGAAUCGACGAUCAGCUCCGUUAGACUUGAUAUAGCGUAUUUGAACUAUGUAGAAAAUAUUUUUUGUGAUUUUUCGGUAUCAUUUUCAUAGCGAUCGAAAGAGUUCAAAAUCAACAAUUUUUAAUGAUUGAUGUAUAUCAUUUGCAAGUUUAACGGUGUAGAAAUAUUCAAAUCAAGACAAUUUUGAUAGAAAUUCUUUAUACUAUUUACAGCAAGAUCAAUAUGUUUGAUUGAAAAUUUUAAUGCUAUAUCACAACUUUUUGGGAGAUUUUUAUUUUCAGCCGUUAAUUUUGAUCCUUUUCGAUCGUUA